Molecule: long non-coding RNA, 2213 nt
Organism: Danaus plexippus (monarch butterfly)
Lineage: Eukaryota; Metazoa; Arthropoda; Insecta; Lepidoptera; Nymphalidae
Exons: 5
Source: RefSeq, a predicted model, not a curated record
AAAUAAUCAUGUAUCCUUAACACUGGUUUGUGUCACACUAAAUACGAUCUUUUUCACGUUUUUCAUUCAAUGACAUACGUUAAUACUAUAAGUGAGGAGCUUAAUGAAUGAAAAUAGAAACGCUCCGUCUGCAGUGUGGUUGUACUGGCUUGGGGUCAGUAUUUUGUCACAAGUAUGAGAGAGCUAGUCAAAGCUUCCUUGAACGUGCUCGCUGCGGCGGCGGCGGCAGCGGUCGCUGCUGCCAUGGCUGCCUCCAGAAACUUGGGUGCCUCUGCUGCAAGUGUUUUGGAGAAAUCCUCAAUAGAUUUCUUCUGUUCGUUCGCCAGUUUGCCAAUGGCUUCCUGGAACUUGGCCAGCUCGACGUUGGAAGCGUCUUUAACGUCAUCAAAGAGGUGCCUCGCCUUUUCCUCGGUGACCUUUGCGCCGUCCACUAUUUUAGCUGUAAUAUGUUAAUCACAUUUACCAAACAUCAAUUGUGCUCAAGGAAACUCCUCAACAGAAUCUCUGGAGUAAAGUUCGAAAAGACACACACACAGCAAUACUGAUCAGACAGUCUGUAGACGUAUGGGGCUCUGCACGCAACACUCGCUACGGGCAUAGAUAACAGAAACCACACCCGUAGGGGUUGAGACGGCGGCCACGACGUUAGCCUCACUUGCGAUACCAAAUAAUAAUAUAUUUUUUAUAUAAAUCAGGUAUAUAUUUUGUACAUAACAUUGGUAACGUGACAUCAGCUGUGGACAGCUGCUCCUAGCUCGACCUCUUCGGUAUGAAGGAGACGGUCAGCAGGUCGUCCUCCUCGCGCAGGAGGAAGUCGUCGGUGGACUUGCUGCGGGUGAACAACCUGAUCGAAUAAGGAAAAUACAUUACAACAAUACCACGUGUGUGGAGGAGCAGCGAGAACCAAAACUAUAUCACGUGCGGACACAAAGGAAUCAGAAAAAAAAUCCCGAACAACACCCUGUAUAUAUAACAUACAUAGUGCGGAACACGUGUUAGAAAAUACACAAAGUGCUAUAUAAAAAGCUGGACAAAUAUAUAUAUAUAUAUAUUAUAAAUUAUAAUAAAUGCACAAAAAUCAUAAUUUUAACAGGAAUUGAGAAAAUAACUCACACGAAGCCGACACACGGGACGCACACAUUGAAAGGAAAUAAUAUAUAAUGAUUAUUACCGUCAGCACUUUACGAGCGGCGACGUGAGAGAGACGCGACUUCUGUGAGAGAGCGACAGUGCAACGCUGAAGGCGGGAGGUGAGAGUAUAUGUAUGUGGCGAUGUCCUCACUUGGCCAGAGGCGUGCCUUUGUCCUGAGGGUCCAACUUCUCGUCCAGGCCGCGGUGAACCGCCACCGCCUCCAGCUGCUCCAGCUGUUCCUGGUGUAAGGACUGGAGAUACUCUGGAGUUUUCAGCUGCUCCAUCGUCGGCUUCCUGAAGCUGAGAUCUCUCCUAACACAUACGUCUUCAGCAGCAGGCUGGAGCACACCACGGACACCGAGCUCAUGGCCAUAGCAGCGGACGCCAUCCACGGCUGAAACACGUUAUAUAUGAUGUUAAUGUUGACUCCCAUGUCCAGGGCUGCUCCCGGUGAUGUCUUACAAGACGGCUGAAGUUAUAUAUAGCCGUAUAUAUACUUAAAUGUUACCAUUGCAUAAUCACAAUGGUUCCUUAUUAUAAUUAUUAUAAUCAGUCGUAAAAAUACUUCUAAGGAUUGUAUUAUAGUUAGUUCGGCACAGAUGGCGCCACUUGUAUGCGUAUUGGAACAGUGCCCAUCACGUGUUACACGUCACUGGCGCCCCGGAAGCGGCGUGUGUUCACCUGGAGCUGCAGGCCGUAGAGCGCGAAGGCUCCGCUGGCCAGCGGGAUGCCCAGCAGGUUGUAGACGGAAGCGAACACGAAGUUCAUCCUGAUGCGGCGCACCGUGACCCGCGACAGCUGCAGGCACGACACCACGUCCAGCAGGUCGCUCUGAUAACAACCGGUUACUUCAUGCACAUGUUUCGCUAACCUCGUGUGUACCAGGCCUAAGACCUCGCCGAGUAUUCAUGUGAAUCAAACUAAUAUUUUCGGAUGACUUUGCCUUAUUUUAUUAUAUUUAAUUGUUUUUCAUCUCGUCUGUCUGUCUGUCGGAGUGAAGUACUCGAAACGUCGGGAGUAUGUAAUUUUUAAAAAUAAUUAAAUAGGCGUAGUACAUUCGAAAAUAUAAGUGUUAUUUAAU